UACAGAGGUCCCGAGCGUUGUUCGGAUUCACUGGGCGUAAAGGACGCGUAGGCGGCUUUGCAAGUGGCGGGUGAAAUCCCUCGGCUUAACCGAGGAACUGCCUGUCAAACUGCAUGGCUUGAGACCGGGAGAGGUGAGUGGAAUUCCCAGUGUAGCGGUGAAAUGCGUAGAUAUUGGGAGGAACACCAGUGGCGAAGGCGGCUCGCUGGGACGGUACUGACGCUAAGGCGCGAAAGCGUGGGGAGCGAACAGG
This 253-nucleotide ribosomal RNA is filed under the name uncultured bacterium. Its description in RNAcentral is "partial 16S ribosomal RNA". It matches the Rfam family "Bacterial small subunit ribosomal RNA", at positions 524 to 776 of the family's 1533-position model. The record is from RNAcentral.